RNAcentral lists this ribosomal RNA (192 nucleotides) under uncultured Staphylococcus sp. RNAcentral describes it as "partial 16S ribosomal RNA". It matches the Rfam family "Bacterial small subunit ribosomal RNA", at positions 340 to 524 of the family's 1533-position model. The record is from RNAcentral. Lineage: Bacteria; Bacillati; Bacillota; Bacilli; Caryophanales; Staphylococcaceae.
UACGGGAGGCAGCAGUAGGGAAUCUUCCGCAAUGGGCGAAAGCCUGACGGAGCAACGCCGCGUGAGUGAUGAAGGUCUUCGGAUCGUAAAACUCUGUUAUUAGGGAAAAACAUAUGUGUAAGUAACUGUGCACAUCUUGACGGUACCUAAUCAGAAAGCCACGGCUAACUACGUGCCAGCAGCCGCGGUAAU